This 73-nucleotide microRNA precursor is filed under the name Erinaceus europaeus (western European hedgehog). Its description in RNAcentral is "miRNA (ENSEEUG00000021706.1)". The record is from RNAcentral. Lineage: Eukaryota; Metazoa; Chordata; Mammalia; Eulipotyphla; Erinaceidae.
AGGCCCCUGCCCUCCUGCCUCCACCUCCCUCUCAUGUGAAUCCACUGCAGGGGAGGAGGGGGGGGGGGGGGCU